CUUGGUCAUUUAGAGGAAGUAAAAGUCGUAACAAGGUUUCCGUAGGUGAACCUGCGGAAGGAUCAUUACUGAGCGUGGGUCCCCUGUGGCCCCCCUUUCCCGGGGGGCCCGGGGUUGACCCUAGACCUCCCACCCUUGUCGAUUGUACCGUGUUGCUUCGGCGGGCCCGCCAUUGGCCGCCGGGGGGCUCGUGACUUGUGCGCGUUGCCCCCGGGCCCGUGCCCGCCGGAGACCUCCCUCGAAAUGCUACUGUGGUCUGAAAUGCUGUCUGAGUGGGAAUGAUGUGAGAAAUUGAUCAGUCAAAACUUUCAACAAUGGAUCUCUUGGUUCCGGCAUCGAUGAAGAACGCAGCGAAAUGCGAUAAGUAAUGCGAAUUGCAGAAUUCCGUGAGUCAUCGAAUCUUUGAACGCACAUUGCGCCCCCCGGCUGCCCGGGGGGCAUGCCUGUCCGAGCGUCAUUGCCAUCCCCUCAAGCUCCGCUUGGCUGGUUGGGCCCGACGUCCACCCGUGGCUUUGUGCCAGGGGGGACGGACCCGAAAGGCAGUGGCGGCUCCCGGAGGGUGGUCCCUUGGGGCGGUGAUACAUGGGUUGUCAUCUUUCACCGCUCUGUUGGCCACGCUCCGGGGGUCUGUCGAACGAUUUGGUCUUCCCCUUUAGGUUGACCUCGGAUCAGGUAGGGAUACCCGCUGAACUUAAGCAUAUCAAUAAGCGGAGGA
Molecule: ribosomal RNA, 715 nt
Filed under: Elaphomyces sp. GM 13-32
Lineage: Eukaryota; Fungi; Ascomycota; Eurotiomycetes; Eurotiales; Elaphomycetaceae
Description: eukaryotic LSU rRNA
Rfam family: 5.8S ribosomal RNA (bases 304-457)
Source: RNAcentral